RNAcentral lists this ribosomal RNA (493 nucleotides) under uncultured bacterium. RNAcentral's name for it is "partial 16S ribosomal RNA". It matches the Rfam family "Bacterial small subunit ribosomal RNA", at positions 28 to 506 of the family's 1533-position model. The record is from RNAcentral.
GACGAACGCUGGCGGCGUGCCUAAUACAUGCAAGUCGAGCGGACUUAAAAAGCUUGCUUUUUAAGUUAGCGGCGGACGGGUGAGUAACACGUGGGCAACCUGCCUGUAAGACUGGGAUAACUUCGGGAAACCGGAGCUAAUACCGGAUAAUCCUUUUCUACUCAUGUAGAAAAGCUGAAAGACGGUUUACGCUGUCACUUACAGAUGGGCCCGCGGCGCAUUAGCUAGUUGGUGAGGUAACGGCUCACCAAGGCGACGAUGCGUAGCCGACCUGAGAGGGUGAUCGGCCACACUGGGACUGAGACACGGCCCAGACUCCUACGGGAGGCAGCAGUAGGGAAUCUUCCGCAAUGGACGAAAGUCUGACGGAGCAACGCCGCGUGAGUGAUGAAGGUUUUCGGAUCGUAAAACUCUGUUGUUAGGGAAGAACAAGUACGAGAGUAACUGCUCGUACCUUGACGGUACCUAACCAGAAAGCCACGGCGAACUACGU